Long non-coding RNA from Cygnus atratus (black swan), 1850 nucleotides. RefSeq lists it as uncharacterized. The record is from RefSeq and is a predicted model, not a curated record. The transcript is spliced from 3 exons. Lineage: Eukaryota; Metazoa; Chordata; Aves; Anseriformes; Anatidae.
GGAGUGGGGGUUUCUCUGACUUGAAUCUUUAGCUCUGCAUGCAUGGUCUGAGCCUUGAAGUCCGAAGGAUAAAAAGCACCCAAAUCUCCUAACUGAGUCCUCCGAGCAUGGAGAAUGGAGCACUGCUCUUAAGGCCCGCUUGCAAGAGAACAAAGCGGAGUGAUGUAAAAUAGAAAAUGAGAAAUGCAAACCUGUGGUGAUUGAAGAAGAGGAAGGAAAAUGAAAGAGAAAAAGCUGAAGAGUGGGAAAAAGAUAAAAUAAAAUGAAUUUUGGGGAUUCCACUUGGAUGAACACAUGGCUAAUUGCCAGAGCCAAGAGUGCAGACCAUUAUGAGGACCAGCUAUAUUUCACGUUCAUCUGGGAGAAUGCUGAGAUUUUAUUUUCUGUGGGAAAUGGCAAUGAAAAAAUGAAUUGUUUUGAUGAUAAAAAUGUAUCCUUUUGUGUGUUUUUACUGGUCAGAUUGAACACAUUAUCCAGCUUUUCCCACAAUUACAAAAGAAAAGACAAAAGUCAUCUUUUAUUAUCGAAAUAGAUUUUGUGGAAGAAAUUUUUGAACAAAUUCCCUAGCGUCAUGAGCAAUGCUGCAGCUACUCUCUUUGCUGCAGUGUUUCAGGUAUCUGUCCUCCAUCUCAAUUUGCUUCAGGUGCUCAGAGCAGUUUUGUGUUGGACAGCAGAGCCCAGAGCUUCAGAGGAGCAGGAUGUGAGGACUGCUGGGACAGCAGGACAAGGCUGCAGUGGGCAUAUUUUGCCAGGACAGAGGUCUCAAAUGUGUCUGUGGUGGCCCAGAGCCUUUGUGGGGGGAUUCAUUAAGCAGAAGUCUGGAAAAUGGAGCUGCUAAAAACUGUUUCAAAGCUGCAUAUGGGGUUAGGAGGCUUUGAUCAUGCUGGAUAUCCAAGACUCCACUGGCAACUGGAGCGAUCGCUUGUAAAGUCUGUGUACACAUCAAAGAAUGUCUUUACUUUUCACUGUAAUCCUUUGUAGUAGUCAACAUACUUGACUAAAUAUUCGAGAGAUGAUUAUGCUGAAUCUGAAUGGCACCUAAAAUUAUUUUCUUUAAAACCAGCUCUGGUGAGCUCAAGGGGAGCCAGCCUUAAAAUUCUGGUGAGCCGGCAAGCAUAUCCCAGAGGAGGGCAGCUUGGCUCCCCAGAGGCUGUCUGUAUCAGUGGUUCUCAGCCUUUUCUAAGGGAGCCUUUCUGAAAAAAACACUCCUGGACCAUUUCCCAUGGCCAACAAGGAGCCGUCUGCACCUGCAGGCAGUCAGUGGCAGCAUCCAGAAACCGGCUCCCGGCUCUGUCUGCCAGCACUGGUGCCUCUGCCAGCAGGCUGGGAAUAGAUGUGGUUUUUAUUUUAUUUUUUUUAAUCUUCUAAAUGAGCUCGUUCACAGAGCAGUUCCUGGUGUCUGACAGAAAGCGGUGGUCUGCAGCCCACAGGCUGCUUAACAGAUCUACCUAGCUCGCAGUGGCUAGGGUCCCUUCACCGGGUGGUCAUGCAGUGCUCUCAGGCGAUUUUAUUAACUCUUGUGCACCUUUCUCUGAAAUAACUGUUGCCAGUUUCCCCAGUAGUUGAGCUGUUUCAUUAUUCUAAUAUUAUACUAGUUGAUUUCAGUGAAUUAAUAUCAAAAUGGGCUAUGAAUGAAUUGAAAGCAUGUUUCCUCUUCAUAGACUACUUUAUUUUCGGUAACUAUGGUAUAGUUACAAUAGGAAUUAUAAAUACAGCAAUCUUUUAUAUUUCAAGCAUUUAUAUGUUGAACCUGUUUUAAGCAAAAAUUAUCUCUGGCCUCUAAUGGAUUGCUAACAUUAUAAUUAUUUAUUAUAAUGUGCUUUUCCGAAUAAAAUUCUUGCUGGAUGAUC